Molecule: long non-coding RNA, 1010 nt
Filed under: Salmo salar (Atlantic salmon)
Lineage: Eukaryota; Metazoa; Chordata; Actinopteri; Salmoniformes; Salmonidae
Description: lncRNA (ENSSSAG00000085728.1)
Source: RNAcentral
AAUCCCUCUAAAGCCCAUUAAACCCUAAAAUCAGCAUGAAUCCCUCUAAAGCCCAUUAAACCCUAAAAUCAGCAUGAAUCCCUCUAAAUGUAACAGUUACAGUAUAAAACAUAACAGACUAAGGCAAUGGAUGACGUCAUCACAUUAAAAGACAUAGUGACUUUAACUCUCAUACAAACUUUGGUCAUUUUUAAUAAAAAACAAUUCGGCAAAAGUUUGUUUUAAGUUUGUUUUUUAAAGUAGCAUUUACAAAGAAAAUGUCUUCUGUACUUUUAUAUAAGAGAAACAUUGAUAAAUAUAAAGCAACGUGCCUAGCCUUUACACACGGCUGCAUUGGGAUGACACAGGACAUAAAGGACACACAGAGAGAGGGAUUAAAAAGUCAAGUGCUGCUUUUAAAGUCACUAAGGAGGGGAAAGGGAGAUUCUUUAGGGUGUAUAUCCCAAAUCGCAUUCCCUGUUGCCAAUAUAGUGCACUACUUUUGACCAGAGCCCCAUAGGACCUAUAGUAGUGCACUAUAUAGGGGUUAGGGAUGCCAAUUAGGAGGCAAGGCUAUGAUUGACGUGCUCUGACUGUACAUGAUGAGAGAAACAGAGAAAGUCCUCCCUGAUGAAUCGCAUGGACUAGUGGGUUAAAAAUACAUCAUAUUCAAUACUGUGUCUUCCCCUUAGGCUUCCUGACGUCCAGGUUCAUCACUACAGAGGGGAUGAGAGGAAUAUUCAAUACUGUCUCUCUCCCUUAGUCUUCCUGACGUCCAGGUUCAUCACUACGGAGGGGAUGAGAGGAAUAUUCAAUACUGUCUCUCUCCCUUAGGCUUCCUGACCGUCCAGGUUCAUCACUACAGAGGGGAUGAGAGGAGUAGGUCUGCAUAGCCAGGUCUGAAGACCGCACAAACAGAUCUGGGACCAGGCUAUGGUCAUCAAGCAUCGAUGCUGGAUCUAGGCUGGGGUUUGGGAAAUGUAUGAAAUUAGAGACUUUCAUGGAUCUGAUAAUCUCAUGGCCUGGGUCCC